GUGUAAUGUAAUGUAAAUGUAAUGAAAAGCCGGCUACAAGUUUAGACUAACAAAUCAUCUCCAUCUCCUCUGCUAUUCAUCUAAAGCACUAGUUGUUUGCUGAUCACAGUAAACGAUUGAGCUGAAGAUUUGAUUUGAUUGGAUCUUGUAAGUUUGUUAAUAAAUGGGUUGCUUCUCUUGUUUUGAUUCAAAAGAAGAUGAGAAGUUGAAUCCCCAAAAAGAUAGAGAUGAUUCUGACCGCAAGCAACCCCCUCCCUCCAAUAUAUCCAGGUUAUCUUCAGGAGCAGACAGACUUAAAAUAAGAAGUAGUAAUGGUUCAAAGAGAGAAUUUUUGGGGCUAAAGGAUGCACCUGAUGUUCAGAUUGCUGCACAUACAUUUACUUUCCGUGAGCUUGCA
This 397-nucleotide unclassified non-coding RNA is filed under the name Hevea brasiliensis (rubber tree). Lineage: Eukaryota; Viridiplantae; Streptophyta; Magnoliopsida; Malpighiales; Euphorbiaceae. The record is from RNAcentral.